This 71-nucleotide transfer RNA is filed under the name Marmota monax (woodchuck). It matches the Rfam family "tRNA". From Rfam's summary of the family: Transfer RNA (tRNA) molecules are approximately 80 nucleotides in length. Their secondary structure includes four short double-helical elements and three loops (D, anti-codon, and T loops). Further hydrogen bonds mediate the characteristic L-shaped molecular structure. tRNAs have two regions of fundamental functional importance: the anti-codon, which is responsible for specific mRNA codon recognition, and the 3' end, to which the tRNAs corresponding amino acid is attached (by aminoacyl-tRNA synthetases). tRNAs cope with the degeneracy of the genetic code in two manners: having more than one tRNA (with a specific anti-codon) for a particular amino acid; and 'wobble' base-pairing, i.e. permitting non-standard base-pairing at the 3rd anti-codon position. The record is from Rfam by way of RNAcentral. Lineage: Eukaryota; Metazoa; Chordata; Mammalia; Rodentia; Sciuridae.
GUGGCUGUGGCUCAGUGGUAGAGCACUCGCCUAGAACGUGCAGGGCCCUGGGUUUGAUCCUCAGCACCACA